RNAcentral lists this ribosomal RNA (616 nucleotides) under uncultured bacterium. RNAcentral's name for it is "bacterial SSU rRNA". The stretch from base 1 to 543 matches the Rfam family "Bacterial small subunit ribosomal RNA", at positions 338 to 873 of the family's 1533-position model. The record is from RNAcentral.
CCUACGGGAGGCAGCAGUGGGGAAUUUUGGACAAUGGGGGCAACCCUGAUCCAGCCAUGCCGCGUGAGUGAAGAAGGCCUUCGGGUUGUAAAGCUCUUUCGGCCGGAACGAAAUCGCGCACGUGAAUAACGUGCGUGGAUGACGGUACCGGAGUAAGAAGCACCGGCUAACUACGUGCCAGCAGCCGCGGUAAUACGUAGGGUGCGAGCGUUAAUCGGAAUUACUGGGCGUAAAGCGUGCGCAGGCGGUUCGCUAAGUCAGACGUGAAAGCCCCGGGCUUAACCUGGGAACGGCGUUUGAAACUGGCGGGCUCGAGUACGGCAGAGGGGGGUGGAAUUCCACGUGUAGCAGUGAAAUGCGUAGAUAUGUGGAGGAACACCGAUGGCGAAGGCAGCCCCCUGGGCCGAUACUGACGCUCAUGCACGAAAGCGUGGGGAGCAAACAGGAUUAGAUACCCUGGUAGUCCACGCCCUAAACUAUGUCAACUAGUUGUCGGGAAGCAAUUCCUUGGUAACGCAGCUACGACGUGAGUAGUACGCCGUCGGAGGUACGGUCGCGAGAGUAAACUACAAGAAGUAGACGCGUGAGACGUGCGACGACGACGACGAGGGAGAGG